CUGGAAUCGCUAGUAAUCGCAAAUCAGAAUGUUGCGGUGAAUACGUUCCCGGGUCUUGUACACACCGCCCGUCACACCAUGGGAGUCGGAUAUGCCCGAAGCCAGUGACCUAACCGUAAGGAAGGAGCUGUCGAAGGUGGAGCCGAUAACUGGGGUGAAGUCGUAACAAGGUAGC
RNAcentral lists this ribosomal RNA (175 nucleotides) under uncultured bacterium. RNAcentral's name for it is "partial 16S ribosomal RNA". It matches the Rfam family "Bacterial small subunit ribosomal RNA", at positions 1326 to 1500 of the family's 1533-position model. The record is from RNAcentral.